GUUUCCACCGCCCGGCGGAGCGCAUUGUGAACAGCAGCUGACAAAUUGUUGUGUUGCACACACACACCAAAAAAACCCAUUCAGUCUCGUAUAAUUCGGCGCAAGCGGUGUCUGUGGAGAGCCUCCCGGGGGCAUGGCACGGGGGACCCGGAGGCCAACAAGCUGCGCGAUACCGGAGCAAAGUCGGGAUCAGCAGCCGCCUUUCGCGGAGGGCGUUCUGCGCUCCAAGCAAAUUGGCGAAAUGCGGGGAUUCAGACACGAAACGAGCGCGCUAGAAAGGGUCGUGUUGACACAUCCCAUACUUUAAGUGUACACAUGACAGUUGCAGACAUUCAAGCCCUUAAAAGGAGCACAAUGGAGCGUUUACAUUUUAGACCUGUGUCUAUGGGAUACAUCUACAGCCACCAGUAACCCGCUUUGAAUGUGGAGUUGAUGUGCUUUAUUUAUUCAUUUUAUUUUAUUUUAUUUUUUUGAGACGGAAUUUCGCUCUUGUCGCCCAGGCUGGAGUGCAGUGGUGUGAUCUCGGCUCACUGCAACCUCCGCCUCCCGGGUUCAAGCGAUUCUCCUGCCUCAGCCUCCCGAGUAGCUGGGAUCACAGGCACGCAUCACCAUGCCCGGCUAAUUUUUGUAUUUUUUGUAGAGACAGGGUUUCACCAUGUUGGCCAGGCUGGUGUCGAACUCCCGACCUCAGGUGAUCGGCCCGCCUCGGCCUCCUAAAGUGCUGGGAUUACAGGCGUGAGCCAUGGCGCCCGGCCUGAUGUGCUUUAAAUUCGCUAAAACGACACGGGUACACACAGGCGCCCUAAGUGCACAGUCACUUUCUCUGUGUGUGCGUGUUUUACGCGCAUACGGUGAAAAAAAACUUUCCAAGGGCACAGAAGACCAUACUGUGGGUGCCCCUCGCCGCCCCCAGCGUCCCUGCCGCACUCUGGAGCUGCUCUGGGAACACACACGUUUGUGCACUCUAAGCGUCAGUGUGUUUUUGCUUUCCCCGCGCCGAAUUGUGCGUCGCCUGUGCAGACCCUCCGUUGUGUGGCCUUGUGUCUUUAGGCAGGGAACAUCUUUUGUCUCUCCGCAAGAAGCUUUCCUCCAGGAAAGAUAAAGUAAUCGAUAGGGUCUUUUAAAUAGCUCCGCGUUUCCUGUCGGGAGAGGAGUAUCAGCGCGCGCACCAAAUCUGCUCUGGUAUGUCACCUUAUCUCUCGUCCCCGCUGUUGUCCCCAAACGCCGCCUGUCAAAGGAGACGCCACCCGCAUUAGGACCUAGACUGGGGCCCUUCCGCUCGGGGUCAGGCGCAGCGCCCUCGGCUUGGGCCCCGCCGCCCCUUUAGGGGUCCGGGAGGGUGGAGAGAAGGGGCGGGAGCCAGGAUGAGGGUGCGGGGGGCCUAGAACCCGAGGCUGGUAGGAGAGCAAACUCUCAAACGCGCUGAAACCGGCCCAUCUGGGAGAAAUAUUAGGGCGCAUGUCUCUCCCGGAGGGCUUCCUUUUUUUUUUUUUUCCUAACCACGAAAAUAGGGAAUCUUUGUUACAGGCUAGUUGUGAGCGAAUCCUCCUUUGUCCGCGUCCGGAGGAAAAUCAGGUUUAUUCUUCAGAGAGGGCAGCUUGG
Molecule: long non-coding RNA, 1602 nt
Filed under: Homo sapiens (human)
Lineage: Eukaryota; Metazoa; Chordata; Mammalia; Primates; Hominidae
Description: HSALNT0097935
Source: RNAcentral